AGAGUUUCAUCCUGGCUCAGGAUGAACGCUAGCUACAGGCUUAACACAUGCAAGUCGAGGGGCAGCAUGAAUCAAGCUUGCUUGAUUUGAUGGCGACCGGCGCACGGGUGCGUAACACGUAUCCAAUCUACCCAUGGCUCAGGGAUAGCCUUUCGAAAGAAAGAUUAAUACCUGAUGGUUUCAUGAGCCCGCAUGGACUUAUGAAUAAAGAUUUAUCGGCGAUGGAUGAGGAUGCGUCCGAUUAGAUAGUAGGCGGGGUAACGGCCCACCUAGUCGACGAUCGGUAGGGGCUCUGAGAGGAGGAUCCCCCACAUUGGAACUGAGCCAUGAUCAAACUCU
Molecule: ribosomal RNA, 339 nt
Filed under: uncultured Bacteroidales bacterium
Lineage: Bacteria; Pseudomonadati; Bacteroidota; Bacteroidia; Bacteroidales
Description: bacterial SSU rRNA
Rfam family: Bacterial small subunit ribosomal RNA
Source: RNAcentral